UUGAUCCUGGCUCAGAAUCAACGCUGGCGGCGUGCCUAACACAUGCAAGUCGAACGAGAAAGUGGAGCAAUCCAUGAGUAAAGUGGCGACCGGGUGAGUUACACGUGACCAAUCUACCCUUGGGUGGGGGAUAACCUCGGGAAACCGGGUCUAAUACCGCAUAACAUCUCUGGAUCGGAAGAACUGGAGAUCAAAGGAGUAAUUCGCUUAAGGAGGAGGUCGCGGCUGAUUAGCUAGUUGGCGGGGUAAUGGCCCACCAAGGCAAAGAUCGGUAGCCGGCCUGAGAGGGCGCACGGCCAUACUGGAACUGAAACACGGUCCAGACUCCUACGGGAGGCAGCAGUGGGGAUUUUUGCGCAAUGGGGGAAACCCUGACGCAGCAACGCCGCGUGGAGGAUGUAGUCCCUUGGGACGUAAACUCCUUUCGACCCGGACGAUAAUGACGGUACUGGUGGAAGAAGCCCCGGCUAACUUCGUGCCAGCAGCCGCGGUAAUAAGGU
RNAcentral lists this ribosomal RNA (500 nucleotides) under uncultured Acidobacteriota bacterium. Its description in RNAcentral is "bacterial SSU rRNA". It matches the Rfam family "Bacterial small subunit ribosomal RNA", at positions 13 to 529 of the family's 1533-position model. Lineage: Bacteria; Pseudomonadati; Acidobacteriota. The record is from RNAcentral.